RNAcentral lists this ribosomal RNA (202 nucleotides) under uncultured bacterium. RNAcentral's name for it is "partial 16S ribosomal RNA". It matches the Rfam family "Bacterial small subunit ribosomal RNA", at positions 1300 to 1500 of the family's 1533-position model. The record is from RNAcentral.
GCAGGCUGAAACCCGACCUGUAUGAAGUCGGAAUUGCUAGUAAUCGCGGAUCAGCAUGCCGCGGUGAAUACGUUCCCGGGCCUUGUACACACCGCCCGUCACACCAUGAGAGCCGGUAACACCCGAAGUCAGUAGCCUAACCGCAAGGGGGGCGCUGCCGAAGGUGGGAUUGGUGAUUAGGGUGAAGUCGUAACAAGGUAAC